CCUACGGGAGGCAGCAGUGGGGAAUUUUGGACAAUGGGCGAAAGCCUGAUCCAGCAAUGCCGCGUGCAGGAAGAAGGCCUUCGGGUUGUAAACUGCUUUUGUACGGAACGAAACGGUCUGCUUUAAUACAGUGGGCUAAUGACGGUACCGUAAGAAUAAGCACCGGCUAACUACGUGCCAGCAGCCGCGGUAAUACGUAGGGUGCGAGCGUUAAUCGGAAUUACUGGGCGUAAAGCGUGCGCAGGCGGUUAUAUAAGACAGUUGUGAAAUCCCCGGGCUCAACCUGGGAAUUGCAUCUGUGACUGUAUAGCUAGAGUACGGUAGAGGGGGAUGGAAUUCCGCGUGUAGCAGUGAAAUGCGUAGAUAUGCGGAGGAACACCGAUGGCGAAGGCAAUCCCCUGGACCUGUACUGACGCUCAUGCACGAAAGCGUGGGGAGCAAACAGGAUUAGAUACCCUGGUAGUCCACGCCCUAAACGAUGUCAACUGGUUGUUGGGUGCAUUAGUACUCAGUAACGAAGCUAACGCGUGAAGUUGACCGCCUGGGGAGUAACGGCCGCAAGGUUGAAACGUUAAAGGAAUUGACGG
Molecule: ribosomal RNA, 587 nt
Filed under: uncultured bacterium
Lineage: Bacteria
Description: bacterial SSU rRNA
Rfam family: Bacterial small subunit ribosomal RNA
Source: RNAcentral